RNAcentral lists this transfer RNA (64 nucleotides) under Pseudabris hingstoni. RNAcentral's name for it is "tRNA-Cys". Lineage: Eukaryota; Metazoa; Arthropoda; Insecta; Coleoptera; Meloidae. RNAcentral also lists the same sequence under 2 other names. The record is from RNAcentral.
GGCUUAAUAGUCAAAUUCAAUGAUUUUAAAUUGCAAAUUUAAAGGUAAGUAAUCUUUUAAGCUU